This is a long non-coding RNA of Danaus plexippus (monarch butterfly), 850 nucleotides long. RefSeq lists it as uncharacterized. NCBI's taxonomy places the organism in Eukaryota, Metazoa, Arthropoda, Insecta, Lepidoptera, Nymphalidae. The transcript is spliced from 3 exons. The record is from RefSeq and is a predicted model, not a curated record.
UGCAUGUUACAAUAUUCAUGUACUAUUUGGAAAACAAUAAUAUUAGAUUCAAGUCACGCAAGAAACAGUUCAGCUUUCUUUGUCUGAAUGAUUUAGUAGUUGUGGUGCCCACAGUGAAGCGAAUGUGUAAUGAAAUAACCAAAAUCCGAGUCAUGGUCAGUCGGUCAGAAACCAGAAAUUAUAGGAAUUGGGGUGACCUCGUAUCUAAAAAGCAAAACCGCCGGUAUGCUGCAAAAUGCCUUAGAGCGUGGCGAAUUAUCUGCAUUACGCAGAUUUCAAUGGGAAUUCCCAAUUUUCUAAAUUUCAUGCACAUUACAAUAUAAUUCCACGAAACAAUUCUAUUCAUAGAAUUAAAGUUGCUUCUCAAGUUUCACAUUUCUGACAGAUAACGCAAUAUAUUGUUAUCAGAUAUUAGACAUCCAUGUGAAGUAUUUUGCACGCGAACCUUCCCACAGCGGUUGUGCGAAUAUCCUACGUUAUGAAAACACCGUUGCAGUAAUAAAGAUAUUCGGCUUGUCUGUUGCUGUCUGCCUUUGACAGCGUCACCGAGAGGGUGGGUGGCCCGAUGGGGCCUACCAUACAGAAUAUACCAGGUCCUACGAAAACCAUAAUUCACUCAGAAAUUGUAGACAAAAUUUAUAAACUAUCAAUGAUGCGGUGAAAGUAUUACGAAAAUGCCAUAGAAGGGACCCACUUCUUUUCUCAGUUGUUCCAUCGAUUGCGACGAUGUGUAGAGAGGAACGGAUAUAACUUCGAAAAACAAUAAAAGUAUUGGCAACUUUCUACAUUAAGCCGUUUUUCAUUUUCUAAACAGUUUCAGUGUUACCUAGGUACUACAUUUUACAUUUUC